This 784-nucleotide ribosomal RNA is filed under the name uncultured bacterium. Its description in RNAcentral is "SSU rRNA". It matches the Rfam family "Bacterial small subunit ribosomal RNA", at positions 70 to 853 of the family's 1533-position model. The record is from RNAcentral.
CACAGUGUAGCAAUACAUGGGUGGCGACCGGCAAACGGGUGCGGAACACGUACGCAACCUUCCUUCAGGCGGGGAAUAGCCCAGAGAAAUUUGGAUUAAUACCCCAUAAUAUUUUGAGAUGGCAUCAUCUUAUUAUUAAAGCUACGGCACCUGGAGAUGGGCGUGCGGCUGAUUAGGUAGUUGGCGGGGUAAUGGCCCACCAAGCCUACGAUCAGUAGCUGAUGUGAGAGCAUGAUCAGCCACACGGGCACUGAGACACGGGCCCGACUCCUACGGGAGGCAGCAGUAAGGAAUAUUGGUCAAUGGACGCAAGUCUGAACCAGCCAUGCCGCGUGGAGGAUGAAGGUCCUCUGGAUUGUAAACUUCUUUUAUCUGGGACGAAAAAAGGGUUUUCUAACUCGUCUGACGGUACCAGAUGAAUAAGCACCGGCUAACUCCGUGCCAGCAGCCGCGGUAAUACGGAGGGUGCAAGCGUUAUCCGGAUUCACUGGGUUUAAAGGGUGCGUAGGCGGGCAUUUAAGUCAGUGGUGAAAUACCUGAGCUUAACUUGGGAACUGCCAUUGAUACUAUUUGUCUUGAAUGUCGAGGAGGUUAGCGGAAUAUGUCAUGUAGCGGUGAAAUGCUUAGAUAUGACAUAGAACACCUAUUGCGAAGGCAGCUAACUACGCGAAUAUUGACGCUGAGGCACGAAAGCGUGGGGAUCAAACAGGAUUAGAUACCCUGGUAGUCCACGCCCUAAACGAUGAUUACUCGACAUUAGCGAUACACUGUUAGUGUCUGAGCG